GUACACCUGCCAGGUGACACAGAUGACCUUUGAUUAAAAACAGUUAGCCUCCUCUUCAACUGUAGGUGGACAACACGAUGGAAAAAUCACCUUUUGAGUGACUUAUGAAACUCUUUACACCAUUUCCUCAACAUGAAGGACGGCAUAACUUCUUCAAAUUUAAAUAAAACAACGCAAAGAUGGCGCUAUGACGCAGUAACGGUAGCUAGUUAGCUUGGUGUUUAAGACUGUUUAAGCUAGCAGCGGCGGACUGAAAGGAUGUAAGCAAACAAACACGUAGGGAGGCUUUAACGGAUUCUACAGCUACACAUAAACAUGGACCUGGACAUCAAAUACAACUGCUGAGUACAGCGUUGUGAGAUUGCAGAUCUGCAGGAGAAUCCUGCUGAUGAGAGUGAUGUGUCGGCAGAAGAAUGGUGUUCUGGGUGGGAUGUGAGUACGGGAGACCGGGACCCGCCUAACCUGGAGGUGUUGGACACAACCAUGCAACCAUGCACACUGAAGAACAGUCACAGCAGUCCAGGCUGUUCAUGAGGGACAAGCAUCUGUUUAACUGUUACACCCUUUAACUUGUUUUUCACUGUUUGUUUUUAUCUGUUUUGUUCAGUGUCCUUGGGUGAAAGCACCUAUAUAAUAAAAUGUAUUAUUAUUAUUAUUA
This is a long non-coding RNA of Cheilinus undulatus (humphead wrasse), 658 nucleotides long. RefSeq lists it as uncharacterized. Lineage: Eukaryota; Metazoa; Chordata; Actinopteri; Labriformes; Labridae. The transcript has 4 exons. The record is from RefSeq and is a predicted model, not a curated record.